CGGUGAGGCUUCCCUGUCCGUUAUCAAUGGGGGCACUCGGUCAUGCUGUGGGUCUUUCGUAGGAUCGACCUUAGACGGAAGUUUUUUAGGCAAUGCUGUGAGGGUGGGUUAGUGUCCA
Molecule: non-coding RNA, 118 nt
Organism: Bacillus sp. X1(2014)
Lineage: Bacteria; Bacillati; Bacillota; Bacilli; Caryophanales; Bacillaceae
Source: Rfam